GACCUUGAUCUAAUAAUCAAAUGAAAAUGAAACAUAAAGUUGUGAAGGAUUUUUUUAGUUACAUACCUCAAAUGUGUCUCCAACAUUCAUAAUGAAAGCAUUAGGCAGGGGUGGAACAGAAAUCCAUUGUCCAUCCUUUCUAAUUUGAAGGCCUUCCAUAUCAUUGAUUUCAAGAAGGAUUGUGAGGCCACNNNNNNNNNNUUUGUUGGCAAGUUUUUCCAACUCUGCACAAUAUAUCUCUAAAUUUUCUCUACAUUUGAAUUAGAUUGAAAAUGUCACUAACACAAACAAUGAUCAAUAAUAAUUAAAGAAAAAUGUUAUUUGAACACCAAUUUUUAAACAAAAAUACUACAACCUACGUAAAUCAUGUGAAAAUUAAAUGGAAAAUUGUCAAAGACAAAAUGGUCUUUUACAACAAAACAAUUUUUCUAUUGAAAAUACUUCUAUAUGAAUCGAAUGAUGUUUUGAUAUCUUAUAUGUAUUCUAAAAAAAUAAAAAUAAAAAUAAAAAAUUAACUAAAAUUUUAAAAGUAGAGUGAAUGUGUGCGCGCGCGAGAGAACCUGAAUGUUUGGGGCAUAUGAUCGUAUAUAUGAGGUUUUCUUGUGUGAGGUGGUAGUGUGUUCAAGAAAAAAGCAUCUCCCCAUUCUAAUUUUUGUUCCUCAGAAAAAAUGAAGGCCUGACCAAAUCCCUCCAUGUCUCCUUCUAUCUGCCAUAGCUUCUUCUUUUCUUCCAUUGAAAGUUCAAACAAAGAUUUAGAACUUCUCUUCAUACUUUCUAUCAAGGUAGUACUUACUCCAUGAUUAAUCACCUGCAAUGAUUAACCAACUAAGUGAAUAACUACUUGUUAUAUAGUAGUACUUAAUUACUCCAUAUUUUAUAAGGUUCGCAUUUUAGGAUGCGAACUGUUUUUUUCCCAAUUUUUGCUAUUUACACACUCGCAUCCUACAUUAUGAGGGAGUAGAAUUUGAAGGUCGGGGAGAGCGUGCAAGACUCAGGGGACGCGAAAAGAAGAAGUCUUAUUUCAUUAUAGUACAAAUAUUAAAUCAAACCUGAAAGAAACCCCAUUCUUUGCCAGCACAGUGUAGCUUCUCUAACUCAUGUCCCUUGAGAUUGAGAUCUUGGGACAACAAUUUUGCAAGAUCAAUGACAGGAACUUGAGGUAAAGAGGUAUUGUUAGAUAGUACUGCAAUUUCUUGAGCUGGAAGAACAUAUCGGUCUGGAACUUUGGUCAAUGGUUCAUUUGCUAGCACUUGUACAGAGGGCACUAGAAUAGAUGUUACUUCCAUGCUACUUUCACCUGAAUACAAGUGCAACACUAAAUUGUAAUAAAGAUUUCAUGAUAUUAAUGUCAGAUAACAUAUUAUCCUGUUAAAUUGUUAGGAUAGAGCUACAUCAAUGGUUUUAUAUUAUUUCUAACACGUCUUUUUACGCAAGAGCCCACUUGGACUUGAAGUGUGGAUAAUACAUAGGCCCACAUACAAUAUGUUUAAAUUCCACUUUUUAAUUAAAAAUUGAGGGGACCGGGGAUCGAACUCACCACUAAGUCAUAGAGGCUCUGAUAUCAUGUCAGAUAACCGAUUAUCCCAAAAGUUUAAACUGUUAGAAUAAAGCCACAUCAAUGGUUUUAUAUUAAAGAGUAGAGUUAUGCUUUGAUAUCUUCCUACCAAAUGUAGAUAUGAAGGUUAGAAAUUUAAUGGUUUUAGUUUCACUCAAAAAGGAGUUAAGUAGCUUAAGUUAUGAUCAAAAUAAUUCAUUAAAAGUAAUUUUUUUUUGACAUCAUUAAAAGUAAAUUAAUAAUAGAAUAUAAAAAAAUAUUAAUAGUAAUAAAAAAUACAAACAAAUUUAUCUUUAUAAAAAGUUAAGCAGCUUAUUCUGAGAAUAAAUCUAUUUUUAAAAUAAUUCAAUAAAAAUAAUUGGCUCAUGCGUAUAGAAAAAUUCGGUUGGAAGGGGAGAACUACUUUAUGUGUCCCACAGGUUUCUCGACGAAGAUUAGACAUCGCUAAUGACGGUAGAAACUUCAUACCAAUAUUAUAAUAAUAAAUAAAAAGACUGCAUCAUUAAAAAUGGCUAUUUCAAAGAAAUUUAUUUUCUUUUAAAAUUACCCCAUAACUCUAACUUGACCAUUUUAAAAAAUUAAUUAACAAUUGUAUAUUCAAUUAUAAAGCUUUUGAUUUUGGAGUUUGCUAACUUAGAUCCACCUAAAAAUAUGAAGGUCUAAGUUAACAAGGUGCACUUUUUCACUUUAGACCAAAACACUAUUUUUUACUAUUUUAAAUUUUAAUAUAGUUUCAAGCCAAUGAUAGUUUAGUAAAACUGAUUUGAUGUUUUUACAUGAAGAUCUAAAUUAGAAAGGUGUAUCUUUCAAAGUUGAGUAACAUGAUGUUUUCUUUAGUUGCCAUUCUUAAGUGUGUUCUCCAUUAAAAACAUGAAUUGAAUGAUAGUUUUCAAAAAGAUAAGAACUGAGGGAGACAGAGAAAGAAAAUAUAAGCAAAAGUAUAGAGCUAGGGAAAUUAAAGAGCUGAAAAAAUUGGAAAAAGGAAUGAAAAAUGAGAUAACAAAAUGGAAAGGAAUAAGAAAGUAAAAAAUAAAUUAAUUAAACAAACACACCUUAAGCUUUAGAUCGGUUUGUAUCUGUUUAGAGUGUUUGUCUUAGAAAGAUGAAUGCUCUUUUAUAGAAAUGGGUUUAGGUGGAGUCCCACAUCACACUAAAACAAGUGAGCUCCAUUUAUUUAAGUGAUUAGUUUCAUAUAAGCUUAAAAUGAGUGUUUCCUCCAAUUAAGGUCAUACUAAUUAAUUUUUCCGGUAGUUAAAAAACUAAAAAAUGUAAAUUUUACAAUAAAAAUGGUAUUUUAUAUACUAAUCAAUUCUAAUGCUUAUUAUGCUACACUCGAAGUUACUGCGCUUAUCGGUGAAUAUGAGUCACAUAUGCUUUGUAGUAUCUUAACAAAUAAUUUUUUUAAAAAAAACAAGUGAUAAAAAUGAUAAUUUUAUUACAUUAACUAUUAUAUUUUUUUUCUUUAAGGAUUAGCUAUAUGAUUUUUAAUGACAAGGUGAAAAGAUAAAACAAGAACAAAAGUGGCAAGAGAAAAAUGCAAAGCUAGCCAACUCAACCUCAUCUCACAGAGUUAUUUUUUAAUAAUUAUAGUGCAUUAUAACAAAAACUAAUUAAAAAAUUGACUAUUCUUCAAAAGAUGCCUAUGUUGGUUUGAAACAAAAGGAAGAAGACAAACUCCUCAUGAACCAUAGUAAGGUCGAAUAAACCCAUCUCCUAUGGUUGAAAUUGACCAGAGCUUCAAGUUGUGAUAUCUUGGUAGUUUUACAACUCAUUCAAAUUUAAGCAAAUUGAGAUAAUUUUUUAAGGAUUAAUUGGAUGUGCAUCUCUUUGAUCCUCCUUGAGUUGCUAGGACUACACAAGAUGUGCAACUUGAUCGUUUUUAACUCAUUUUCAAAACACAAACAAACUCAUCAUUCAAUAUCUUUUUAUUUAAUCAAACUCUCACAUCUUUUUACCGAAUCACAAAAAUUUUGUUUAAAAUUAUAACCAACACACGAGCAUUUUCUACCAUAGAACUACGUAGCUUUGAAUUCUCCAUUGCAAUAAAAAGGAGAAAAUAAACAUUUCGAAGUUAACAAAUUUUAGCACAAUUAAUUAAAGGUUACCGUUUUGUUGGAUAAUCACGAGGGGGCAGCCGGGGAUCAUCCACAUUGGGCUUAAGAACAACUCUACAAGUGAGUUGGACACCACACUCUUACCCAAAACCUUAAGGUGUUAGGUUUAUGGGUCAUCUCACUUAUAAAGUGUUCANNNNNNNNNNNNNNNNNNNNNNNNNNGAAAUUGACCAGAGCUUCAAGUUGUGAUAUCUUGGUAGUUUUAAAACUCAUUCAAAUUUAAGCAAAUUGAGAUAAUUUUUUAAGGAUUAAUUGGAUGUGCAUCUCUUUGAUCCUCCUUGAGUUGCUAGGACUACACAAGUUGUGCAACUUGAUCGUUUUUAAACUCAUUUUCAAAACACAAACAAACUCAUCGCAAUUAACUUCCUGCAUUCAAUAAAAAUUUUCUUUAAAAUUAUAACCAACAUACGAGCAUUUUCUACCAUAGAACUACGUAGCUUUGAAUUCUUCAUUGCAAUAAAAAGGAGAAAAUAAACAUUUUGAAGUUAACAAAUUUUAGCACAAUUAAUUAAAGGUUACCGGUUUUUAAUGGAUGUCUUAGGGUCCUAAUACCUUUUCUACGCAUAAUCGACUUCAGAAUUCGAAAUUUGGUUUCAAAGACCUUUUUUGUUUUAAAGGGCUUUCCAACAUUUUUUCUAUUUCAAUAAAUUUUAGUGGUGACUUCAUUGUUUUAGAUCAACCCUCAAAUUUUAGACUGUAAGACACUCAUUAGAGAUGAAAGUGAAUGAAAAAAAAGAACAAAGAAAGUUUUACUUAUUUUUAUUUGCAUAUAAAAGUUGUGACAUGCACACUUUUCUUAUCAUCAAUAUUAAUCUAAGCCAACUCCUAUACAAUGCUACUAAUAUCAUCUUUUAAAAAAAGGAGUUGUUAUUAUUCUCCACCCUUUCUAAUACCCAUUUGUAUUUUUGACUUUUUCUUGUCUUUAUUUCAUAAUUCAUAUAUAUAAUAUUAUAUUUCUCAUUAAAAAAAAAUCAUUCUCCAUCCUUUGUGAUCCUCAUUUCAUUUAGAUAUGAUUUUCCACGAAGCUCUUGUGCAAAGUACCCAUUAAAGUGGUCUACAACACUAAUUCUUCUAAAUUGUGCUGGUGUUUCUUGAGUAACAAGACUUGGUGCUGGAGCUAAAAUUGCUUGCAUGUUAGGUCCAUAAAAAGUAGCUAGGGAGAUUCUCUCCUUCUCUGAAUUAACUGUUGCUCGAUGCUCAAUGCUCGGAUAAAUUCCAUUUGUUAUAAUCUGCACAUUAAAUGAGUUUAUAAAGAGUGAUAUCUCUUACUUUAAAUGAGUUAGACUCAAUAAAUAUAAAAACCUAAGACGUACCUCUAACAUGUCUCCGAUAUUGAUUAUGAAAGCAUUAGGCAGAGAUAAAACAGGAAUCCACUGUCCAUCCUUUCGUAUCUGAAGGCCAUUUAUAUCACCGAUUUGAAGAAGGAUGGUUAGGCCACCAACAUCAGAAUGAGAUUUUAAGCCAAUGACUCGUUCUGGUUGAGGGCAUGGAGGAUAAUAAUUCACCCUUAACAUUUGAGUUCCUGGGUUGAACAACUCUGUCAUUUCCUUCGGAUUUAUUGCCAAAGCAUUUGCCAUAUGUUCAAUGACUUUGAUUGCAAGUUUUUCCAAUUCCGCAGAAUAUAUCUCUAAAUGUUCUCUACAUUUGCAUAAGGAUGAUAGAUGAUGUCACUUACAAAAACAAUUAUACACAAGUAUUGGUAAAUUUUUUAGUAAAAAAAAUGAAAGGCGUCAAAAAAAAAGAAAAAGAAGAGUGAGUGUGUGCGCGCGCGAGAGAACCUGAAUGUUUGGGGGAUUUGGUUGUAUAUAGUGGGUUUCCUUAAGUGAGGAGGUAGAGUUGUCAAGAAAAAAGUAUCUGCCCAUUCAAGCUUCUGUUCCUCAGAUAAAAUGAAUGCCUGACCAAAUCCCUCAAUCUCUCCUUCUUUCUGCCAUAGCUUCUUCUUUUCUUCCUUUGGUAGUUCAUACAGUGUUUUAGUGUCUCUCUUCAUAUAUUCAAUCAAGGAACUACUUAUUCCAUGAUUAACCAGCUACAAUCAUUUUAUUGUUACACAUAUUAGUUUAUAAAAUCAUCCGCAUCAAUAUAUAUAUAUGUAUUAUGCACAUUCAUUUACUUGAUAGUAAUUAAAAUACUACUCCCUCCGUCCCGAAAUGUAAGGGAAAAUGGGUCAACGAAAAUUAAUGUAUUUGGUUUAAAGUUCAGAAAAUUCAUAAAUCAUUUACAUUUGAAUAAUAUUGCAUUUUUCAAUAACCUCAAUUUGGCAAGAAUCGAACUCAUGACACCUUGGUUAAUUGAACACUACUUAACCACUAGGCAAGAAGCAUUCUUGUGAUAUAAAUUGAAGGUUACGAUAAUAAAUAACAAAAAUAUGUAUAUAUAUCUAUUAAAAACUGAAAAUUCUAGUGUGGCUAUAUAGCCACAGACCACAGUGUGCCUCUAUGUGGGUUUGCCCCUGACUAGAAAUAAUUUCAGCUAAAAUUUAAACAUGAGUUCAUCUGAAUCAUUUAUCUUUUUCUCAAGCUCAUGAAUUACUUAAGUCCAAUCAUUUGGAUCUAAGUAUAGUUAAGGUUCAAUUCCGUUUUUGGAGCCAAUUUAUUUUAACAUAUUUGGUUGUUUUCAUUGAUUUUGUCUUCAUAAUUGAUUCUAAUUUCAAGCUAAAAUUUGUAACUUUUAAGUCCAAACAUAAAUUUUACACUGAAUUUGAUAUUGUUCAACUCACUUUUAUAUAAAUGUAUAAUGUAUUCCAACAUAAAAUACUUUACAUUUAACUCACUUUUAACUAAAAUCAAUUUUUUUUUCACCAUAAAACCAAACAUACACUAAAAGCUUAAUUAGUUACUACUCAACGUUACUGCAGAGUGUAUAAUUUGACAAGACAUUAUUCGAUAAUAGCAUACACAUAUUAAAUCAAAUACCUGAAAGAAACCCCAUUCUUUACAGGCAAAGUGUAGCUUCUCUAGCUCAUGUCCCUUGAGAUUAAGAUCUGGAGACAACAAUUUGGCAAAAUCAAUGACAGGAACUUGAGGUAAAGAGGUAGUGUUAGAUAGUGCAGCAGUUUCAUGAUCUUGAAGAACAUAUCGAUCUGGAACUUGAGUCAACGGUUCCUUUGCUAGCUCUUGGACAGAGGGCACCAAAAUAGAUGUUACGUCCAUAUUGCUUUCAUAUGUCCAAUAAGGUUUCGCAAUAAUUAAUAAAUAGUGGAAGUUGUUGAUAAGGUUACACGGAUGAUGANNNNNNNNNNNNNNNNNNNNNNNNNNNNNNNNNNNNNNNNNNNNNNNNNNNNNNNNNNNNNNNNNNNNNNNNNNNNNNNNNNNNNNNNNNNNNNUUGAAAGAGAAUCCAACUAUGUUCAUCUUCAUUGUCACUAAGAAAUAUUAUAAUAAUGUAGAAAAGUGUAACAUCUUGUGACAUAUUUUGGAUAAUUGGAGAGGUAUAAUUCAAUAAUAAUGUAGAAAAUUGUAACAUCUUGUGACAUUAAUUUUUGGAUAAUUGGAGAAUCAUAAUUCUUUAUUAUUUAUUAUGAGAUUGAUAUAAUAUAAAAACAAAAAAAAAUAGAGAUGAGAAUGAUAUAAUAUAAGUGAUGUGGAAAAAAAAAAUAGAGAUGAAAAUGAUAUAAUAUAAGGAAGUGAUGUGGCAUUAUUGUGUGAUUUAAUUGGAUGUAAAUGGGUGAUGUGGAUUAGGGUUAAGAUGGAUAGUAGGAGAACUAUCUAGGAAUUAUAUAUAUAGAUUACGUAUACUAACUUGCUAUAUACUACAAUUUAUUUUGUUUUCAAUUUCUAAUAAAAUAUUUAAAUUAAUCAUUGUCAUUUUCAUACUAAAAAUAAAUUAUAGUCAUUUUUCUUUCUUUUUAAUAAAUUUAUUAGGGUGCUGCAAAUGAUAGGUGAUGAUUACGGGGUGCCAACAUAGUUGGGAUGUCAUAAUUAUCAUGUGAUGCCUUUGCACGCUAAUGUUUUAUAAAAAAAAAAAAAAAAUACUAAAAAUAAAUUAGUCUCUCUAUUAUAACUAAUCAGGACUAAUUUGUCCCUAAUAUGAAAAUAUCAAUGACUAAUUUGGAUAUCAGUUUUAUCAGGCACUAAAUUGAUCCAUACAAAAUUUGUGAGGGUUCGAAAUAAUGUCGGUAGGAGAUAUAUUAAACUUAGAGGAGAGGAACAGGAGAAAAACUCCUAACAUUUUUUGUUGGAGUAGAUCAUGUACAUGUAGUACAGGUUGAAGAAGUUAAUACCAUUUAUAUGUCCGAAAUCUCUCCCCAACCAUCCGGUUGAGGUAUGAGUUUUUCCCAAAUCAUUGUUACUAUGAUGUUUUAAAUCCUAAUGUUGAUCAUGAUUUGGCAAUUUCACAGCAGUAUUGAAAGAAAAAUGAUGGUAGUGACAUUGGGCAAAUGUUUAUACCAAUGAGGAAGAGAGAGCGACAACGAUCAAUUUUUUGAAGAACCGUGCACCUGUUAGGGAAUAGCUUUUCACUGAAGUGGUGUUUAAGGCCAAGAAAAAGAAUUUACAGAAGAGUUUUCAAGUUUGUAAUACCCACUCUAGGAGUAGGAUGUCAAACUGAGCUUUCUUUGUUCUUUUUUCUUUUUCUUUUCAUUUUUAUUUCUCUUAGUUUAUUAUGCUUCUUAUUUUCUCGCUAUUUUUCAUUUUUCUAGGUUUGACUUUUGUCACUUAGUUUUUAUUUCGCUUUUCAUGCUUGAGAAGAUUUUGGUUCAUGUCCCCCUUUUCUUUUUGUUCUUGCUUCAAUUUAUAUCUAUCUAGGGUGUUGCAGGUGACUCACCAUAUACUCUCCAUUUGCUAAAAAAAAUCUAAUAAUAAUAAUAAAUAAAAAAAAUUAUAUGUGACAUGUCUGCUACAUAAGCAAAACAUAUAGUGUUAUGUUAUUUUUUUGGGUACAUAGACGAAAUGACACCCUAUUGAAAACUCACACACACACAAAAUGGAGGGAUUGAGGGAUCGAACCCUGGUCAUGGCGUCCAACACCAAUAAUUUUGACAUUUCUGCCGGUUGAGAUAGGAUUUGUGGACAUGUCAUUUAAUUAGGUGACACAUCAUCAAAAUUGAAAACCAAAAUAAGAGGGCGAUCAAAUAUCUACAUUUACAGAAAUAAGGGACUAAAAUUGCGGAAAAAAUAAUAGGGGGAUCAAAAUUGUGGAUUUAGUAAAAUAGAAGGACAAAAAUUACAUUUAAACCUUUUUAAAAAUAGAAAAAUAAAUAAUCUAUUAAAAAUACACAUUAAAAAUAUUUUUUUAUUUAUAAAAGAAAUACAUUUUUUUAAGAAGUCGGUAUAGCUGUCACUUAUCACUUAUAUAACGGUAAUGAUUCACUUGGAGUGAAACACUUGACUUUGUUUUUGGGUUUGAACUUUGAAAGAUGAAAUUCUCUCCGAUCACCAUUCCCAUUCCAAACCCUAGUCCUUCUCCGCCGUCCGAUUUCUUGUACGACGACGGUGAAUUCGAGAAGCUCUUCGUUUUCUUACAGUGUAAUUUGCAAUCAAUUAAGAAAACGAAAACGAGAUUUCUUUCUCUCCAUCUCGAUUCGUGUUUGGCGUCAAUGUUCAUGAAGAAUCUUCAAACCCUAGAAAUGUGUUUUUAAAUUCGUGCAGAAAAAGUACAAACAAUAGAUAGUUUCUUGAUUCCACAUUCAACGAAUCUGCGCUCUCUCAAGGUAACCUUUGUAACUCUUCUGAAUUGGUUCAUUUCUCUUUCUUUUUCCAUUCUUGAUUCAUUAUAGCUUUAUUUUUGUGAGAUAUCUACUAUUCGAGAAAAUUGGAUUCUUCUUAUGGUGUUGAGAUUUUAGGAGAGAAAAUUGGAUUCUUGUUUAUUUAUGACUAUGUCUUUCUCUUUGCUCAAACAUAUUCAUACCAUGUAAAUUGUAAUGCAUGUUAUGAUCGAAACACCUUUAUGUAUGCGUCGAUAAAUUGAGAUAAUAACUUUGGAUUCGAAAUUUGACAUUUAAGCCUACAUGGUUUUAAAUACCAUAAAUUAGAAUGGUUGUAUUGUGCUGCGUUGGAUAGAAAAUAUGAUAUUCGAGGCUAUAUGGUUCAAACUCCAUAAAUUGAAAGGGUGAUUUUAUUUGAGGUUAUAUGGUUCAAUCCUCUUCAUCAUCGUCGUUGUUGUCACCUUCAUUCUUGAACCGUUUUCGUUCUGGUUCAUCGGUCGUGUUCCCGGUUCAUGGAAAUGUUUACCCUCUUGGGUAUGUAAAAGGAAUUUCCUUUGUUUACAUUCUCUUUGUUGUUGUUUUUUCCUUCAGUUUCACUUUAUGAUUUUAUUUCUCCUAUGUUGCUUUCUUUCAUGCCUUUUGUUUGGGCCCUGUCCCUCUCAAUGUUUUGUUCUGUUCUGUUAUUUUAUUCCUCGAAAAGAGUAAUUAUUAAACAAAGAAUCAAUAGUUCAGAUUGAAAGUGUGUUUGGUGUUUGACAUGUAUUGGUGCCUGACACGACAUUGAUAUACAUGCUUACAUUCGAUUAUAUUAUUUUCUCAAAUUAUUGUUACUAUCGAUGUGUACUGUCAGUGUCGUGUCCGCUGGUUGUGUUUCGUUGCUUCUUUAGAUAUCGAGUGAUUAUGGGUUCCACACUAAUACAAUUCAUUCUUAUUUGUAACAUUUACAGGUUUUAUAAUGUGACUCUCAACAUUGGGCACCCACCAAGGCCAUAUUUUCUUGAUAUUGACACGGAUAGCGACUUAACAUGGCUUCAAUGUGAUGCACCUUGCUCCCGUUUCUCUCAGGUACUCACUUCACUCAUUCAUUGAAAAUAUUAAAAAUUACCAGGCAAAUUAACAGCUUUGAAUUGCAAAACCUUUUUCUCGCAAUGAGAUUCAAUUAUGAUUGUAUUGUGCCUUGUAAUAAAAUAUGAUAUUUGACACUAUAUGGUUCAAAAUUUGAUAAAUUGGAAAUAUGAUGCUAUCGUGCCCGAAUGAUAUUGGAUACGAAAUUUGAUAUUUGGAUUAUGUGGUCCUAAAUUUGAGAAACCGAAUUGACGGAGAAUGACAUUGGAUGUGGAAUUUGAUAUUUUGAUUAUGUGGUUAGAAAUAUGAUAAACUGAAUUGAUGGCAAAUUACAUUGGAUACGGAAUUUGAUAUUUGGAUUAUGUGGUCUAAAUUUGAUAAAUUGAAUUGACGGAGAUGAAUUAUUUGGUCCUAUAUUUGAUAAAUUGAAUUGACGGAGAUAAAUUGAAUUGACGGAGAAUGACAUUGGAUAUGAAAUUUGAUAUUUCAAUUAUGUGGUUUGAAAUUUGAUAAAUUGAAUUGACGGCGAAUGAUAUCGGAUACAUAAUUUGAUAUUUGGAUCAUGUGAUCCAUAAUUUGAUAAACUGAAUUCAUGACACUAUGAAUUUUUAUUUUAUGGUCUAAAUGCAAUUUGAAUAUGAACCUUUUAUUCAUAACUUGAAAUGCAAGUCGAGAUGACCCUUGAUAAUGAUUUUCUCAUAACGGUAAAUAAGAAAGAUGGUUGUGUGUGGUGCCUUGGUGCUUUAGAUUUAAAAAUGAGUAUAUGUCCCUCAAUGUCUCUAAAUUGAGUUUAUGUCCCUUGAUGUCCUUAUAUUGAGUUUAUGUACCUCGAUGUCCAUAAAAUUGAUGGCCUGAAUGCAAUUUCGAUGUGAAUGCUUCAUAACCUCAAAUGUAAGUGGAGAAGUCGCUUGGCACAUUAGAUGCAAAAUUGAAUAUAUGUCUCUCAAUGUCCCUAAAUUGAAUAUAUUUCCCAAGAUGUCCCUAAAUUGAAUAUAUGUACCUUGAUGUCCCUAAAUUAGAUGUUCAUAGUUCUGUUUUGUUGCCUAUUAUGAAGUUUAUGGGAACAACGUUUGGGAACAAGUGCUAGACUCAAGCUUUAUAGUCGAAAAUUGUGUUUAUCAUUUACUUUAAUGUUGGAAUUUUUUAGUGUAGAGAUUAUGUUCUGUUUCAGGUCUGAUGCGUGCGAUUGCUCCGGGUCUGAUACGGGAUAGUCCUUUGCUGAAUUCGCUACAACGGCUGAGCCUGGUUCUGCGCACACAUAUACGGCUGCUGUUAAUUGGAAAAGUCUGACCCCGGGGCAAUUCAAAUUCAAUACUAGUGCAUCCUUUGCGUCACAUUUAAAUAGAAUUGGGAUUGGAAUAUGCAUCCAUGAUGAACUUGGUCAAUUUGUGCUUUCAAAGACAUAAUUGAUUGCCCAUCUUUGUGGAGUGGAUGUUGGUGGACCUCUUGGUGAGUAUAUGUCCCUAAAAUGUCGGUAUGUCCCUUGAUCUCUCUAAAUUGAGUUUUUGUCCCUCGGUCGGUGUCCCUAAAUUGAGUUUAUGUCUCUUGAUGUCCAUAAAAUUGAUGGUCUAAAUGCAAUUUCAACGUGAAUAGUUAUUCAUAACCACCAAUGUAAGUGGAGAAGACCCUUGACGCCUUCGAUGCAAAAUUGAAUAUCUGUCCCUUGAUUAAUUGAAUACGCGUUGGAUAGAAAAAAAAUGAUAUUUGAGGCUAUAUGGUUCAAAAUUUGAUAAAGAGGAAAGAUGAUGCUAUCGUGCCCGAAUACAAAAUUUGAUAUUUAGAUGAUGUGGUCCUAAAUUGUCGGAGAAUGACAUUGGAUGUGGAAUUUGAUAAACUGAAUUGAUGGCAAAUUACAUUGGAUACAAAAUUUGAUAUUUGGAUUGUGGUCUAAAUUUGAUAAAUUGAAUUGAUGGAGAUGAAUUAUGUGGUCCUAAAUUUGAUUACCAGAAUUGACGGAGAAUGACAUUGGAUAUGAAAUUUGAUAUUUGUAUUAUGUGGUUGGAAAUUUGAUAAAUUGAAUUGACGGCGAAUGAUAUUGGGUUGAUAUUUGGAUCAUGUGAUCCUAAAUUUGAUAAACUAAAUUGAUGGUACUAUGAAUUCUUAUUUUAUGGUCUAAAUGCAUUUUGAAUAUGAACAUUUUAUUCAUAACUUGAAAUGCAAGGCUAGAUGACCCUUAGAUUUUCUCAUAACGGUAAAUAAGAAAGAUGAUUGUGUGUGUGCCUUGGUGCUUUAGAUGCGAAAUUGAGUAUAUUGUCCCUCAAUGUCCCUAAAUUGAGUUUAUGUCCCUCGAUGUCCUUAUAUUGAGUUUAUCUACCUCGAUGUCCCUACAUUGAUGGUCUUAAUGCAAUUUCAAUGUCAAUGCUUCAUAACUUCAAAUGUAAGUGGAAAAGUCCCUUGGCACCCUAGAUGCAAAAUUGAAUAUAUGUCCCUCAAUGUCCCAAAAUUGAAUAUAUAUCCCAAGAUGUCCCUAAAUUGAAUAUAUGGACCUAGAUGUCCCUGAAUUAGAUGUUCAUAGUUCUGGUCUGUUUUGUUGCCUAUUAUGAAGUUUACGGAACAACGUUUGGGAACAAGUGCUUGACUCAAGCUUUAUAGUCGAAAAUUGUGUUCAUCGGUUACUUUUUUUUUUAACAGCAAAAUAUAUUAUUAUAAAUUGUGUUCAUCAGUUACUUAAAUGUCGGAACUUUUUGGCGCAGAGAUUCUGUUCUGUUUCAGGUCUGAUGCAGGCUGAACCUGCGACUGCUUCGGGUCUGAUACAGGAUGAUCCUUUGCGUCACAUUUAAAUAGAGUUGGGAUUCGAAUAUGCAUCCGUGACAAACUUGGUUAGUUUGUGCUUUCAAAGACAAAACUGAUUGCCCUUCUUUGUGGAGUGGAUGUUGGUGAACCUCUUGGUAAGUAUAUGUUCAUAAAUUGAUGGUAUGACCCUCAAUAUCUCUAAAUUGAGUUUUAGUCCCUCGAUGUCCUUAAAAUUGAUGGUCUGAAUGCAAUUUCAAUGUGAAUGCUUAUUGACGACUACAAAUGUAAGUGGAGAAUACCCUUGGUGCCUUAGAUGAAAAAAUUGAAUAUAUGUUCGUCGGUGUCGGUAAAUUAAAUAUAUGUUCCUCGAUGUCCCUAUUGAUGGUCUGAAUGUAUUUUAAAGGUGAACGCUUAAUCUUGAUUAUCCAACAAUGUGCUAAAUUGGUGAAUCUUGAUAAAUCAAACCUAUGAAAGCUAUUUUGGAAAGUAAAAAAUUGUAUAAUGGCUAAAAGAAUUCUUAAGUCGAGUAUUGAGAUCAUGUGUUCGGAUGACCCUAACGAGAUGGAUUUUUAUGAAAAAUGUGGUUUACGUUAUGAAUUCUUAUUUUAUGGUCUAAAUGUAAUUUGAAUAUGAAAGUUUUAUUCAUAACUUGAAAUGCAAGUCGAGAUGACUCUUAAUAAUGAUUUUCUCAUAACGGUAAAUAAGGAAGAUGGUUGUGUGUCGUGGUGCCUUCGAUGCGAAAUUGAGUAUAUAUCCCUUGAUGUCCCAAAAUUGAGUUUAUGUGCAUUGAUGUCCCUAAAUUGAGUUUAUGUACCUCGAUGUUCCUAAAUUGAGAGUAUGUCCCUCGAUGUCCAUAAAAUUGAUGGUCUGAAUGUAAUUUCAAUGUGAACGCUUCAUAAUUUCAAAUGUAAAUUCAAUAUAUGUUCCCUAAAAUGGAGAUGACCCUUGGUGCCUUAGAUGCAAUAUUGAAUAUAUGUCCCUCGAUGUCUUUUGAAUAUAUGUUCCUCGAUGUCCCUAAACUAGAUGUUCAUAAUUCUACUUUGUUUUGUUUAAUGUUGGAAUUUAGCGCAGAUGUAGUGAUCUGUUUCAGGUUUUAUGCAGGCAGAACAUGUGACUGAUUCGGGUCUGAUAAGGGUGGGUGCUUUGCUGAAUGCUACAGUGGCUGAGCCUGAUGCGGCGCAGACAUAUUCGACCGCUGUUAAUCGGAACAUCCCGACUCCUUUGCGACACAUUUAAAUAGAGUUGGGAUUGGAAUAUGCAUCCGCGACGAACUUGGUCAAUUUGUGCUUUCAAAGACAUAAUUGAUUGCCCAUAUUUGUGGAGUGGAUGUUGGUGGACCUCUUAGUGAGUAUAUGUCCCUAAAAUGUCGGUAUGUCCCUUGAACUCCCUAAAUUGUGUUUUUGUCCCUCGGUCGGUGUCCCUAAAUUGAGUUUAUGUCUCUCGAUGUCCAUAAAAUUGAUGGCCUAAAUGCAAUUUUAAUGUGAAUAGUUAUUCAUAACCACCAAUGUAAGUGGAGAAGAACCUUGACGCCUUCGAUGCAAAAUUGAAUAUAUGUCCCUUGAUAUCCGUAAAUUGAAUAUAUGUUCCUCGAUGUCCCUAUUGAUGGUAUGAAUGCAAUUUAAAUGUGAAUAUCUUGAUUAUCCAACAAUGUGCUAAAUUGGUGAAUCUUGAUUAUUCUUACCUAAGAAGGCUAAUAAUUUGAAUAUGAACGUUUUAUUCAUAACGGUAAAUUGGAAAGAUGGUUGUGUGCCUUGGUGCUUUCGAUGCAAAAUUGAGUAUAUGUCCCUCAAUGUCCCUAAAUGGAGUAUAUGGGAACAAGUGCUAGACUCAAGCUUUACAGUCGAAAAUUGUGUUUGAGUCUCAAUGACCCUAUAUUGUUGGUCGAAAUGCAUUUUCAUUAUGAACUUACUCAUAACUUGACAUACAGCUCAAAACAACCCUUGAUAUAGUGAUUAUAUGAUGCUUUCUUAAUAAUGAUAAAUUGGCACGGUAGUAGUGUGCUUUGGUUACCUUAUAUGCAUGAUUAAUUAUAUGUCCCUUGAUGACUUUGAAUGCAAAAUUCUAUAUUUGAGCUUUGGUAACCAAUUGUUGGCCUAAAUGCAAUUUUAUUAUUAAUGUGUAUUAAUAAUUUAAAAUGCAUGUUGAGACGACCCUUGAUGCAAUGACUAUUCCACAUUUUUAAUAAAUUUGGAUGUUGGUAGUGUACUAGUGUGCCUUGGUAACCUUAGAUGUCUUUGAUGACUUUGAAUGCAAAAUUUUGAUAUUUGAGCCUUCUUACUCUGUAUUGGUGGCCUAAUUGCAAUUUUAUUAUAUUGUUUACUCAUAACUUUAAAUGUAAUUUGAGAUGACCCCUGCUUCAAACUUCUACCCUAGCUAAACAAGUGAUUUUGAAAAUAUAAUUUUUUGAUUUUGAGAAGCUUUAUAAGAUGGCACAUAAAUUCUCAAAAGAUUGUUUCAAGAAACAUAAUAGUGUAAUUCAUAAUGCUUGUUUGGAAUUUCUUCCAAGGCUACGCAAAUGAUUUUAAAAAUAUAAUUGUUACUUUUAAUUUUGAGAAGCUUUGUCAGACAGUAGCCAUGAUUCCUUUUUAAAGUGAUUCCAACAUGCCAAUUAGUGUGGAAUACUUUAAUUAUCAAUCUGCAUUGAUCUAUCUUGUACUAAGCUGGUGACUUUUUAUGUUUCAAAUAAUUUUAACAAUGCAUCUUCCGACACAAUCAAUCACUAGUUAUUGCAAAGUUACUUCCCUCUCAGGAUAACAUAACUGGAUCCAUUAGUUUUUUGUAUCUUAGAGAUUCUCUUCAGGAUCUAAGUAAUGUCAGCGAAUACGAGUCAUACUCAAUAGACAUGAAACUGGUAAGUAUUUUCCAUUCCAACCGAAGGAAAAAAUAAUGACAAAAGUUUCACAUAUUUUUAUUGCAUAUAAACUUUGUGACAUGCACACUUCACUUAUCAUCAAUGUAGUCUAUAUAAUACUACUAUUAAUACAAACAGAAGCAUUUAUUAUUAUAAUGCAUAUACGAUUAAUUAUUCGUUAUUCACUUUCUAUAAUGAAUAACACAAACAGAAGCUAAUAAGAGCUGUUAUCAUUCUCCACUCUCUGUGAUCCUCAUUUGAUUCAGAUAUGAUUUUCUAUGGAGCUCUUGUGAAAAGAACCCAUUGAAAUGGUCUAAAACACUAAUUUUUCUAAACUGUGCUGGUCUUUCUUGAGUUACAAGACUUGGUGCUGGAGCUAACAUUGCUUGCGUGUUAGGGCCAUGAAAAGCAGCUAGCGUAAUCCUCUCUAUCUCUGAAUUAACGGUUGCUCGAUGCAAAAUACUUGGGUAAAUUCCAUUUGUAAUAACCUGCAAAUUAAACCAUGAUUGUCAAUGCAAAUAUUCAAAAGUUAUGAAUGAUUUUAAUCAUAUAUAUACCUCUAACAUGUCUCCGAUAUUGACGAUGAAAGCAUCAGGCAGAGGUUUAACAGGAAUCCAUUGUUCAUCCUUUAGUACUUGAAGGCCUUCUAUGUCGCUGAUUUGAAGUAGGAUGGUUAGGGCACAAGCAUCAGAAUGAGAUUUUAUGCCAACGACUUUUUCUGGUUGAGGACAUGGAGGAUAAUAAUUUACCCUUAUGAAUUGAGUUCCUAUGUUAAACAAUUCUGUCAUUUCCUUAGGAUUUAUUGCAAGAGCAUUUGCCAUAAGUUCAAUGAUUUUGAUGGUAAGUUUUUCCAAUUCUGCAGAAAAUAUCUCCAAAUUUUCUCUGCAUUUGAAUAAGGAUGAUAAAGUCACUAACACAAAUAAUCAUCAAUUAAUCUAGUAAAUUUGUGAAAACUAAA
Molecule: long non-coding RNA, 16915 nt
Filed under: Trifolium pratense (red clover)
Lineage: Eukaryota; Viridiplantae; Streptophyta; Magnoliopsida; Fabales; Fabaceae
Description: long non-coding RNA (TPRA_LNC001408)
Source: RNAcentral